GAUGAAGAACGCAGUGAAAUGCGAUAACUAGUGUGAAUUGCAGAAUUCCGUGAAUCAUCGAGUCUUUGAACGCACAUUGCGCCCCCUGGUAUUCCGGGGGGCAUGCCUGUCCGAGCGUCAUUGCUGCCCAUCAAGCACGGCUUGUGUGUUGGGUCGUCGUCCCCUCUCCGGGGGGGGCGGGCCCCAAAGGCAGCGGCGGCACCGCGUCCGAUCCUCGAGCGUAUGGGGCUUUGUCACCCGCUCUGUAGGCCCGGCCGGCGCUUGCCGAACGCAAAUCAAUCUUUUUCCAGGUUGACCUCGGAUCAGGUAGGGAUACCCGCUGAACUUAAGCAUAUCAAUAAGCGGAGGA
This 349-nucleotide unclassified non-coding RNA is filed under the name soil metagenome. RNAcentral describes it as "partial contains 5.8S ribosomal RNA, internal transcribed spacer 2, and large subunit ribosomal RNA". The stretch from base 1 to 120 matches the Rfam family "5.8S ribosomal RNA", at positions 35 to 154 of the family's 154-position model. The record is from RNAcentral.